UAAAGCGAUAAUACAACAUUA
Molecule: non-coding RNA, 21 nt
Filed under: Caenorhabditis elegans
Lineage: Eukaryota; Metazoa; Nematoda; Chromadorea; Rhabditida; Rhabditidae
Source: RNAcentral